Molecule: non-coding RNA, 4703 nt
Organism: Lactuca sativa (garden lettuce)
Lineage: Eukaryota; Viridiplantae; Streptophyta; Magnoliopsida; Asterales; Asteraceae
Source: RefSeq, a predicted model, not a curated record
AGUGAUUAUCCUUUUAGUUCACAUCAGAUACCUAGUGGGUUUCUCGUCCAAAAGUCAUCCUUAGGCCUUACCUACAUAAGCACCCCUUUCAAAUUACUGCCCUUGCAGUUGCUUCCAACAAUUGAUUUUAACUUUCUGAUUAUUGUUUGAUAGACAAACAAUAUGGACGCCCUGAAGGAGUUUCAACAUCUUAAAAUCGUUCUGAAUGAUAUAAGGUCAGCCACUGCCAAUUUUCAUGUGUGGAAGGUUAUUGGAGAAGGUGGAUUCGGGAAGGUAUACAAAGCACUACUCUCUUACUCCGAGGGACGAAACCAGGUUGCCUGUAAGCGUCUAGAUCCAGAUCGUACACAUGGACAAGGAGACGCCGAGUUCUGGAAAGAGAUCCUGCUGCUUUCCCGUUACAAACAUAAGAAUCUCAUCUCUCUGUUGGGAUUUUGCAGCGAAGAGGGUGAGAGGAUCCUUGUGUACGAACUUGCAUCUCAUGGAAGCCUCGAUAAGCAUUUGAGUAGCUCCACUCUUAGUUGGAGGCAACGUUUCAACAUAUGCCUCACAGCCGCAAAGGGACUGUGCUACCUUCAUGAUCCCAAUGGAACACAACAAAGAGUUAUCCACAGGGACAUAAAAAGUAACAAUAUUCUACUGUUUGAAGAGUUAUCCACGUCUCACCAUGAGAGCUGGCAUGCUAAAAUUGGUGACCUGGGACUAUCGAAAUUAGGACCUGCUAAUCAAUCGCACAGUUUUGCUCCCACCAAUGCUGUAGGUACCGAUGGUUACAUAGAUCCAACAUUUGAGAAUACAGCCACCUUAACAAAAGAGUCGGACGUCUACUCUUUUGGGGUGGUCUUAUUCGAAGUGUUUUGUGGGAAACUAUGUGGAGAUUAUAGUAGUGGUCGUUUUGAGAAUUUAGUGCCAAAAUGGAAACUUAGCUGUAAAGAGGUGAAAUCAGAUGAUAUUAUAUUUCGUGAAUUGAAAUAUGACAUAGAUCCGAGUUCAAUGAAAACAUUUUUAGACAUUGCCUACCGAUGCUUGGAGGAAUCCCGUGAAAACCGGCCUAAGAUGUCUGAGGUUGUGGAAGAACUUGAUAUUGCGCUUAGGUUACAAGAGAUCUAUGACGAGGGGGAGCCACCAAUAGACUAUGAAGAGAUAAGUAAGACUGCGACACCUUGUCUGGUAUACAAAUCUGAAGAGGAACUUAAGAUGCUUCUCUCCAAAGGAGUCUUUUUGAACAGUGGCAAAACGUGGUUUUUGUUAAAUGCUGAUGGAGAACACUGUGAAAUGAUAUCCUCACAAGGUUGUUUAAUACCUAUUGAGUAUCUAUCUUCUGUCUAUGGAAAGAAAUCAAGAUUUGCAGUGGACUACCGUUAUGGUGCCUAUUUUUGUGAUGAAUCCAAAAUGCAUCUGAGAGCACAAUUUUUGUCACCACAUGUCACAUACACAAUAAAUCUUGUGUUCGAUUUUUACGACACAACGUUGGACAAUUUAGGCAUCCAUUACAAAUUGGCUGGGGAGAAAAAAUCCUUUACUUCAUACUUAGUAGACGAGGGAGAAGAUGGAUGGUUGAUUUCUGAACUGUUUCAGUUUACUAGCCACAGAAGACAACUUGAUCUUGAAAUUACAUUUGAGUGCAAAAAUGCAAUUGUAGUAGACGCCAUUGAGUUUCGGCCCCUUGAGAGAGUGGAGCAUCAACUGUUAGAGAAUGAGGAAGUGGAUAUGCCAGAAACAUAUUGGGAACAAAAAUUACCAAGUGAUUAUGAAGAUAUCAUCAAAUGGUCGAAAUAUAAUGUGCAGCAAGCAACAAAGAAGGAACUCUACUCUAUUCUUUGCCAAGGGUUCCUAAUCAACAAUGGUGAAGAGUGUUUUUCUCUAGCAAAAAAUGGAAAGAAAUGCCAUAUGCUACCAGCAAGCAUGGCUUUGCAAGAAUAUGAGUGGAGAUGGAGGUUUUCACCUGAUGAUUCAAGGUGUAUCAUGAAACUUGGAUGUAUGGACUACCAUGGGCUAGCAGUGAAUAUGUACAUAACCUCAAGAAGUUUCUUAAAGUUGUUGAGGAUCGUCGGGUGCAUAGAGGAGAAUGUUACAUUUGGUGUCCUUGUAAAAUGUACCAAAAUUGUAAAAAGGUCUAUGAUUUGGAUGUAAUAGAAGAAUAUAUGAUAUGUGAAGGAUUUAUGAAUCAAUAUACGUGUUGAUCACAACAUGGCGAGUUAUUGAUUGAUCACAACACAAUUAAUGUCGAAUCUAAUUAUGAUGAUACAGAUGAUUCAGAGGAUGACAUCCAUGAUAACCUACCUCCAUUUUCUAUCGGUAUUCCAUCUAUGAAUGUUGAUAUUAAUGACGCUGCUUACUUAAGAUCGGACCAUAACGAAGGAUCAUAUGUUGAAGAAAGCAACACAGACGACACGACACUGGAGGACAAUAACAGUGAUAAUUGCAGUUGAUGUUCUUCAUGGGGAGAUUUACUAUGAUUGCAUUAUGAAAAACUUGUGUAGUAUCAACAUGAUGCGAGGAUAAAAACUAUGUUGAGUUUUUGAUGUUUAUGUCACAUGUAAUAUGUUCUAUAUUAUACAAAGUCAUGUUUUAGUGAUGAACAUUAAUCUUUGUUCAUCACUAAAUGCUCAAUUGCUCAUCACCUUCAUUUCCCCUUCUUCCUUUUAUGAAUUCAAAGAGAAAAAUAUAAUAUUGAUAUAAUUAUUUGAUAAAUAUAUUUAAUUAUUUUACUUUUUAAUAUGUUCAUUUUAAUUUUUAAUAUGUUCAUCUUGGUUCGGCAUCAAUUUUUUUCACAUGAUAUUAAUAUAUUGAAAUUGCAAUUACAUUCCCUUUUAUUAAACAAGAAACAAAAGAAAAAAAAAUAGAAUUUUUUUUGUCCUUUUUACAUAUAUAUGAACGUGAAUCCCAUUUUUCUUUUAUAUGGAUUUGUAUAUUGAAGGGGCCCAUCAGUAGCCCAUAUGAGCACAUAUUCAAUUCAUCAUCGGUCAAAAGUAAAAAUUGCAAACUUAACAAAAUUGACCCAAAAGUCAAAAUUGCAAUUACGUUCCCUUUUGCGUGUACUUGUUUGCUUAUCACGAGAACGACGAAGCCUUCGCCUUCAGCCGACGACGCCUCCGCAUCCGCCUCUGGCCAACGACGCCUCUGCCUCCGGUCUUCGGUCGAAGACACAGACGAAGUCUCCUACUCCGCCCUACAGCCGCUUCCGCCUCCUCCUUUCACGUUGUUUACAGGCUGUCAGUUUGAGCAGCACUGCAACCAGGUUGGCACUUGAGGUUUCCUUUAUUAAAUCGGGUAUGAAAUUAUCACAUUUUUUAUUCCCUUGUGAAAUGAUUUUGUUUGUGUUGUGAUACAAAUUAUCCCCAGGUUGAACAUCAUCAAUUCCAAUUGAGAAUCCACCGAGCACUGCAUCAAAAUAAUCUCAUCAUACACUUUCACCAAACAUCUAUUCAGAGCUCACAACUUCUCCUAUAGCAGCAGCCUCACUUGGGCAGGAACUUAGGAUUGGCUCUUUGACGUUUUCCUCAGGACCAAAAGAUUCAGAGACUAUUCCAAUCUCAUACGUAUAUAAUCCUUUUAGUGCAAUCAACAAUUGUCUGAUUGGAGUGUGGUUACUACGUUAUGAACUGGAUGCAUGAGUUUGUACUUUUUCGACAACAUGGAUUUCCGAAUAACAUUUGGAAGGACAAAAACCCAUUUUCUAGUGAGGAAUUGGAUGAACGUGUUAAAACAUGGAUGAGAACUUUUGAAGAUAAAGUGAAGUCUUUUUCAAGUUAACGGUUAGUUGUUCUAUAUACAUUGUUAUAAUUGGUUAUGUUUUUCAAAAAACCAUUUUCUAGUGAGGAAUUGGACGAAAGUUUUUAUGGAAAAUGUGAUAUAUAAAAGUAGGAUGCUAUAUUUUGUGUUUUAUUGUGGAAGUUUGCAGAUUUCGAGUUAAGGAGGUUGCUGUUAUGGAGGUACACAAACAUCCCUUGUAUUUCAUGUUGUAUUUGCUCAUAUUUUUUAUGUUGUGGAGAAGUUUUCACCCUUACAUUGCUAUAGAUGAAGGUGUUAAUGGCAGGAAUGUCCAUUAAUUUGAGUUUUCUUCAUUAAAAGUUAUUUGAGAUUUUGAAUCCUAAGUUUUCUUGUUUUUAUAGGCAUACACUGAAUUAGCCACAAAGGGGAAAGAGAGGUCAGAUGUGUGACAUUAACAAAUUUAAGAAUGUUUUUAUGUUUAAUGAACUAGGUAUAUUAAUUUUUUUUUUCUGUUUUUUAAAAUUAAAACAUGAUCAGUGAUGCCCCACUUCUUAUGGUUGGAAUGGAAUCAUAUAGUAGGUUUGUAUUUUAUGGAGAUUGAUCAAUUGGUUACAAUUCACAUGCUAAAAGCUUUGCAGAAAUUAAAGAGUUUGUUUUAGUUAGAAUAGUUGGAAUGAUGAUCCAUGUGUUCCACAGCAUCCAUGGAGUGGAAUUGGCUGAUUAAUAAGGCUGGAAUGCAAAGCCAGAAUGGGCUGGAAAGUCUGGAAUGCAAAGCUAGGAAUAGGAAUGAAUAAGACAUCAAGUACAGUUGUUUAUUGGUGUAUUAGAUGUGUAUAUAUGGCGUAUUAGAUGAUACUUGAGACAUCAAGUACGGUUGUUUUGGUGUAUUAGAUGUUUAUAUAUGGUGUACUAGAUGAUUGUAUGUAAUGAUUGUAUGGGAUGGUAUAAGAUACAUAUAAUACGGUUAAAUAGCCGUACUUUAUUAUGCA